Molecule: ribosomal RNA, 908 nt
Filed under: uncultured bacterium
Lineage: Bacteria
Description: bacterial SSU rRNA
Rfam family: Bacterial small subunit ribosomal RNA
Source: RNAcentral
AGAGUUUGAUCCUGGCUCAGGAUGAACGCUAGCGGGAGGCUUAACACAUGCAAGUCGAGGGGUAACAGGGGUAGCAAUACCUGCUGACGACCGGCGUACGGGUGAGUAACGCGUAUGCAACCUGCCCUAUACAGGAGGAUAGCCCGGAGAAAUUCGGAUUAAUACUCCAUGUAGCAUUUUUUUCGCAUGAAUUAGAUGUUAAAGAUUUAUCGGUAUAGGAUGGGCAUGCGUCCCAUUAGCUAGUUGGUGAGGUAACGGCUUACCAAGGCUUCGAUGGGUAUGGGGUCUAAAAGGAUGGUCCCACACACUGGCACUGAGACACGGGCCAGACUCCUACGGGAGGCAGCAGUGAGGAAUAUUGGUCAAUGGGUGAGAGCCUGAACCAGCCAUCCCGCGUGCAGGAUGACGGUCCUAGUGAUUGUAAACUGCUUUUCUAUGAGAUGAAUAAGAAUUACGUGUAGUUCGAUGACCGUAUUAUAGGAAUAAGCAUCGGCUAACUCCGUGCCAGCAGCCGCGGUAAUACGGAGGAUGCAAGCGUUAUCCGGAUUUAUUAGGUUUAAAGGGUGCGUAGGUGGGCGUUUAAGUCAGUGGUUAAAGCCAUUAGCUUAACUAAUGUAUGCCAUUGAUACUGGAUGUCUUGAAUGUGGUAGAGGUAGGCGGAAUGUGUUGUGUAGCGGUGAAAUGCUUAGAUAUAACACAGAACACCGAUUGCGUACGCAGCUUACUAUUCCAUUAUUGACGCUGAUGCACGAAAGCAUGGGGAUCAAACAGGAUUAGAUACCCUGUAGUCCACGCUGUAAACUAUGAUCACUCGUUUUUGGCGAUAUAUAGUCAGAGACUGAGCGAAAGCAUUAAGUGAUCCACCUGGGGAGUACGUUCGCAAGAAUGAAACUCAAAGGAAUUGACGG